GGGCAUGUGGUGUAGUUGGUUAUCACGCUCGCUUAGCAUACAUUAUAUGGCUUGCGAGAGGGGUCCGGUUCAAUCCCGGACAUGUCCA
Molecule: transfer RNA, 88 nt
Filed under: Lentinus tigrinus ALCF2SS1-7
Lineage: Eukaryota; Fungi; Basidiomycota; Agaricomycetes; Polyporales; Polyporaceae
Description: tRNA-Ala
Rfam family: tRNA
About the family: Transfer RNA (tRNA) molecules are approximately 80 nucleotides in length. Their secondary structure includes four short double-helical elements and three loops (D, anti-codon, and T loops).
Source: RNAcentral